Myotis daubentonii (Daubenton's bat) is the source of this 1344-nucleotide long non-coding RNA. RefSeq lists it as uncharacterized. The record is from RefSeq and is a predicted model, not a curated record. NCBI's taxonomy places the organism in Eukaryota, Metazoa, Chordata, Mammalia, Chiroptera, Vespertilionidae.
UCAGUAACACUUGUCCUACAGGGACUGUGGUAGCCACAGCGGCUUUGGAAAAGAAUGGAGUUCCCGGUAUUUCUGGCUGGCACGCGCCUCCUGCUUUUGACAGGGGACAAGGGACGAGGGAGAGGUCCUGGCUUGGCAAGGACGUGGCCCGCCUCCAGGGGGAUCUGGCGGAGCCAGCGGUGACAGCAGAAGGGCAUGUUGACAGAGUGACUCACUUUCCAGGAGGGGAGGAGACAGCGCCCUCCCCGCCUUCCAGGAAGAGGCGAGGGCACACAAAGGCACUAAGAAGAAGACGUUGAGCAUCCAUCCACCCUGGACCAAGAAGUCGAUUCCAGAAGAAGACGGCCAUGUGAACAUGGACUGAUAGGGCUCAAAGUCAGGAAAUGACAAGGAUUGCCAGAAGUCACAGGAUUCUCUCCCAGAGCCUUCAGAGGGAGUGUGGCUUCGCCAACACCGUGAAUUUGGACAGUACCUUUCUGUGGUCUUAAGCCACCCCAUCUGUGGUUGUUACAGCAGCUUUGGGACACUAAUACCAGCCCAACCUCUGGUUUCUGUCCGCUAGAUGACAACCCUCCUCCCCCUUCAGUUAUAACAAACAAAAAUGUCUCCAGAUCGUCCCUCCCCUAGGCCCUACCCCCAGCCACUGCUCUCACAGGGUGCAUAGGACGAGAAGAAAGAGCCGAGUGGGAUGAACCUGGGCUAGAAUUCCAGCCCCACCCGGAAUAGCUAUGUGACCUGGAGAAAGUUGCUCAACUUCUCUGCAGCUCCCUCUCCUCCCAAGUGACAUGGGGUUGAGAAGGUACCAGCAUCUCCUCGAACCACCAGGCCGAUGCCGUGAGAUAAGGUGUGGGACGUGCUCAGCUCAGCACGGCGUCUGGCGUGUAGGUAGCGCUCAGUAAAUAGAAUCUCAACCAAACGUUGUGAUACGUGCUUUUAUUGAGCAACAAUAUUACCUGAGUGAUGAUAAAUAUGUUAGGAAAUAACAAUGGCAAUUGGCAGUGCUGUUCUUUAAAGCUCGCAAGCUGAGUCAGGUUUCCACGUGAUCAUCCGCUAUGAACGGCUGCCAAACCGACCGGCCAGGAGCUGCUUCUCAGAAGGCAUGACAUUUCCUGCUGUGGACCGCGUGGUCUUUCCCCACAAUUCCAGGUAUUGCACUGUGAUUCCCCUGGAUCUUCCUUAAAGCUGAGUUGGAAUGUACCCCGUGAAUCACAGAAGGACGCCUCAAGAAGUCGAAUUAAAGAGUCACAUUUAUUGCAAUCCAGGACUAUGAGGGGUCAUUCCCAAAUCUCAUAGCGAUAAGAUGGUGGCAAAACCAGACUUAUAUAGGCAAAGAUCACAAAGGUA